Molecule: ribosomal RNA, 497 nt
Filed under: uncultured bacterium
Lineage: Bacteria
Description: partial 16S ribosomal RNA
Rfam family: Bacterial small subunit ribosomal RNA
Source: RNAcentral
GAUGAACGCUGGCGGCGUGCCUAAUACAUGCAAGUCGAGCGAACGGACGAGGAGCUUGCCCCUCUGACGUUAGCGGCGGACGGGUGAGUAACACGUGGAUAACCUACCUAUAAGACUGGGAUAACUUCGGGAAACCGGAGCUAAUACCGGAUAAUAUUUUGAACCGCAUGGUUCAAUAGUGAAAGACGGUCUUGCUGUCACUUAUAGAUGGAUCCGCGCUGCAUUAGCUAGUUGGUAAGGUAACGGCUUACCAAGGCAACGAUGCGUAGCCGACCUGAGAGGGUGAUCGGCCACACUGGAACUGAGACACGGUCCAGACUCCUACGGGAGGCAGCAGUAGGGAAUCUUCCGCAAUGGGCGAAAGCCUGACGGAGCAACGCCGCGUGAGUGAUGAAGGUCUUCGGAUCGUAAAACUCUGUUAUUAGGGAAGAACAUAUGUGUAAGUAACUAUGCACGUCUUGACGGUACCUAAUCAGAAAGCCACGGCUAACUACGUG